RNAcentral lists this ribosomal RNA (253 nucleotides) under uncultured bacterium. Its description in RNAcentral is "partial 16S ribosomal RNA". It matches the Rfam family "Bacterial small subunit ribosomal RNA", at positions 524 to 776 of the family's 1533-position model. The record is from RNAcentral.
UACGAGGGGGGCUAGUGUUGUUCGGAAUCACUGGGCGUAAAGGGAGCGUAGGCGGGUGCCUAAGUUGGGUGUUUAAUUCCGGGGCCCAACCCCGGGCGUGCACUCAAAACUGGGUUUCUUGAAUAGGGGAGAGGUCGGUGGAAUUGGAGGUGUAGCGGUGGAAUGCGUAGAGAUCUCCAAGAACACCCGUUGCGAAGGCGGCCGACUGGACCCAUAUUGACGCUGAGGCUCGAAAGCAUGGGGAGCAAACAGG